UAAACUAGGAUUAGAUACCCUAUUAUUUUAAAUGUGAAUUUUAAAUGCUAAAUUAGUAUUAGUUAUGUUCUUGAAAAUUAAAAAAUUUGGCGGUAUUUUAGUCUUUUCAGAGGAACCUGCCCUGUAAUUGAUAGUCCACGAUUAGAUGAACUUUAUUUAUUAGUUUACAUAUCGUCGUAGUUAGAAUAUUUUAAUAGAAAAUUAAUAUUCAAAGUUUUAAAUAAGAAAAUAAAUCAGAUCAAGGUGUAGUUUAUAAUAAAGAAGAGGUGGGUUACAUUAAAUUUAUUUUAGGAUAAUUUUUUUUUAAAAAAAUUUGAAUAUGGAUUUGAUAGUAAUUUUAAUAUAUUUUUAUAAAAUGAUUAUAGCUCUAAAAUAUGCACACAUCGCCCGUCGCUCUUAA
RNAcentral lists this ribosomal RNA (400 nucleotides) under Bruchidius sericatus. RNAcentral's name for it is "partial 12S small subunit ribosomal RNA". The record is from RNAcentral. Lineage: Eukaryota; Metazoa; Arthropoda; Insecta; Coleoptera; Chrysomelidae.